Molecule: long non-coding RNA, 6111 nt
Organism: Apis cerana (Asiatic honeybee)
Lineage: Eukaryota; Metazoa; Arthropoda; Insecta; Hymenoptera; Apidae
Source: RefSeq, a predicted model, not a curated record
CCUUUCUUCUCUUUCCUUUCUUUUUUUUUCCUUUCCUCUUUUUUCCAUUUUUUUUCUUUUUUAUCUGCGUCGAAAGAUCACGAACGUUUCCUUAUCUUCUCGCAUGCACGGACCACCUCUCUCUCUCUCUCUCUCUCUUUCUCUCUCUCUCUGUGAAUAUCCGAGUCGAUGCGGCUGCGGCCGUUGUACGCGCGGUUAUUUCAACCAGGCUUGUUUGUUCAACGGUUGUAACGCCGCCUUUAUUUGCCCUCCAUUUUCCUCCUGCCUUCGGGCGCCACUCUCUAAAUUACACUUCAUUCUCGCGUUGCAAAUUGUUACCGGCGUGAAAAAAAGGCCCGCCUUCGAUCGAUCCUCUCCGCCUUCGUUCGAGAGCCAUGGGAAACGAUCGGUUGUGUAAAAUGGAUUAUCGAAAAAAGGAAAGGGAAGAGGGAGGGGGAUGAGACGUGGGAUGAGAAGACACGUUCGUCGAAUAGGCCUUUUCCUUUUUAUUCGAGCCGAAUAAUAUACGUGAAUUAUAUCCAUACGUACGUUCGAGUUGGAGUGGACACGCCGCUCGUGUCUCGCGGAUGGAGCGUAAUAGAGAAACGCGGCGAUUAAUUGCGGCCGACUGGACAGACCAGUUAAAGAUAGAGCCGAUAAGUAAAUCAGUUUGAAUAAGAAAAGACACGGCAACGGUUCAGCGACUCGGUAAGUUCCCCGUCGAGACAUAAUAAGAGACAUAAUAUUCCUUCAAAUCCUCACCUUUUCCAUUUAAUAAACGGAUACGUUUCAAUUAACCGUAUAAUAAAAUAGCUUCGGUUCCAAUUUAUCGAUCGAGUCGUGGAAAAUCUACGACUUCAUUAAUUUCGCUAAUUUUUCGAUAUAUAUUUACUACACAUCGGUUAACGAUUCCUUCUUUUUUUCUUUUUAGAAGAAAUCGUAUCCUACCGUGCUUUCGAACUUUUCUCCAAAAUUCCGAACGAUGAAAAAAUAUCUUCUCGAUCGAUCUUCUCCCCAUUUCCCCGUUUAUCCCCGUUUCCCCCUUCGACUUUCGUCGACGACGACCAAACAUCCUCCCUCUCGAACAGAGAAUACCCCGUGUAUCGCUACAUCUUCGAUUAUAUCCUAGUUAUCAGGAUCCUAGGAUCUGAGGUACGAUCGAUAACGAAGCUUCCAACAUUUUUAUCCGUCAAUGGUAUAUCUGGCUCUGGCUCGACGGAUAGCGAUGGGGAAAGGGGUUGCGCGGGAAGAACGCACAGGGGGUGGGUAAGGGGAGGAGGGCCAUUCGAGAAAUUGCGAUCGUCUCUCUGGAGUGAAGUGAACGUUAGCACCGGGUCGACUGAGAGAGAGAGAGAGAGAAAGGGUGGGAAGGGUGGGGUUGGUUGGAAGCGUUAUCACAAGGAUAUCGAAGUGUGUAUAAACUAGGACAUAGUCAGCGUACAGAUAGGUGGGAGGCGAGGAAAGGGGGAGGAAGAAGUGGGAGGUUGGGAGGUGGAGAAGAGAUUCCCUGAACGAUACCGGUAUAGGAUGCCAGAUUCCCGAGGGAGAUUAGAUCCCAGCCGUGGAUAGAGGCUACCUCGACUGCGUACAACUCACCCACACUCUCUCUCCCUCUUCUUCCAUUCUCUAUCCCCGUUUUUUCCUCUCUGUCUACCUCUUUCCACUCUAGUGUGUGCACUGCUAUAUCCCUUUCUCUCUUCGCUCGCUCUUUCCCUCUCCCUCUCUCCCUCUCCAAUGGUUUAUUCUACCUACUUUCGAUCCUCUCGCACACACACUCUCUCUCUCUCCUUCUCCCUCUUCGUCCCUUUUAUCAUUCAGUCCGUGCCUUUCUCUGUCCACCCCUCUUCCUCUUCCUCCUUCUCCUCCUCUCUUUCUCUCUCGCCGCAACAAAUUGCCGAACGUCUCGCGAGCCGCGUCAUUGUUCCCUCUUCUUUUGAAGGCUGAAGAAGAUAAAUAGAUAGAUAGAAUUAUUGUGCGCUCGGGCUUCAGCUUAGCUUCUCGUCCCCGGCAGCCACGUAGUGACGUAAAUGAAGAGAAGUAGGGGGAGGAAGAAACAAGGGAGAGAGACGCCUCGCUUCCAUUCCGCUUUCACGCGUUUAGGCGAGAGCCACCCUGGUUUUAUUGAGAACUUUCCUAUCCUCGUUCAACUCGACGCUUCGUAUCGAGUUGUUCGCGGGGUGGUUCACGCGGGGAGGAUAUCGAGCAGAGAGUUCCUCGUUUGCAGGAAUAAUUACGAUACGAGUCGAGAGAACGAUCCGGUAUCGCGACGCGGGGAGAUUAUUUUCAGGCGGGGAGGGAGAGGAGAGGGGGAGAAAGAAAAAAAGAAAAAAGAAAAAAAGGAACGAGUUUAGACAAUGACUCGACGCUAUCUGUUGAUCGACUGGUGGUUCUUCUUUGGUAAAUAGUGGAAGAUAACAGGCGGACAAUACCGUCUAGGCGAACGUAAAGAUAAACGGUGAGUCAACCGGUCGCGAGAUAAAAGUCGGUGCCUGGUACCAACCGCAUACUUGGACGUUUUUGGCGAAAAUUCGGACGCAGCCGAAUAUUUCGUUUAAUAAUCCGAUACAAGAGAUUCGAAUCUUCUUCUGUGGAAUGUAUCAUUUGUAUGUAUUGCCAUUCGUUCGUUUUUUAAAUAUCUCGUCGUGUUGAUUCACGAUGAUCAAAAUCGAAGGAUCGGAACGUUUUAAUCGAAUUGAAAAAUUCCUAGUUGAAUUUUCAUUUGCCGAGAAUUUGCCAAGAUAUCUAUCUAUGCAAUAUUCGCAGACGAAGAAGAAUUCUCAUAUCGAUAAACUUAUGUACACAAGUGGGAAGAAAAUUCAGUUUGCUUUUGGAUUUUUUUUCACCCGAACCGAAGAGAAUUCUUCAAUGGACUUGAAAAAUCCGGAUAUCGGAUAGAUAUCUAACAGAUAGGAGGAUAAAAUGGGAAAAAUAUCGUUCGAAAUUUCUCGAAGCGCUUCGUCAUCGAGGUGUAUCAAUGAGCGUGCAAUUGAAAAAGAUGUACGGCAACGAGGCCCGUUAUCUAGCCUCGAUAUCGGUCAGGCAUUUACUCUCCCCUCCACCCCUCCACGUUGAACAACUGGCAAACGGAAGAGGAGGAAGGGGGAGGGGAUCGGUGAGAGCGUGUUGUUAACGAGACGAAAUGAAAUAGAUUAAGGUCUAGUAGCGAUCGUGGUGGCGGAUAGCGUUGGUAAAAACGUGGCUGGCCACGAGAACGUCGAAGAACGAACGAACGAACGAAAAAGGAGGGACGGUGUGUGUGCACCGUGUGUUCUCCACGUUCAUGCAUGGCGUAACCGCGCGCGAUGACAAAAGCGGCCAUCGACGCUUCUUCUACAUGGCACGAAAAAAAAAAAAGAAAAAGAAAAAAACAAUCCUCCACUCUAUUUAAAAUCUAUUUAAACGACAAUUAUAAAGUAGAAAUAGAAAUUCAUUAUAAUUAUGAUAAUAAUAAGAUAUUUUGUAAUUUCAUGGUUUGUUAUUUCAUUAUCGAACGAGACGAGAUUAUUUAAUUAUAACGUAUCAUAAUUGUUGAUAGUUACAUAAAAUAUUCGAUCCAAAGAAAUUAGCUGACUACCGAAUACAGUUAGCAAUAACAUUUCUAAUUCACGUAUCAAAUAAUUGCAAGGAUUGUUAAUCUACAUUUCUCCAAUGUGAAGCGUACAAAUUAAAGAGGUUUCUUUAAAGAAAUUGACCAUAAAGAUAAAACAGUCAAUCGAGUAAAUUGUUCUCGAUUCAUUGCAAGUUGUUGCAAUUCGAAUACAAUUUCUGCAACUCGUUGAAUGAAUUCUAUUCAAUUAGAAUCGAAAGGGAAGAAGCGUACGUACGCGUAUUUUUUUUUUCCUUUUCUUUCCUUUUUUUUCCUUUUUUUUUUUUUACGGGACACGGAGUAUGCACGGUACGGUGCGCGCAGAAACGCGCGAGCGUAAUACACGCGAGAGCAGGAAGAGGAAAAAAGAGGAGCGGACGGAGCACACGCGUGUCCCUCGUGAACCCACGCACACGCACACGAGGCACGCAGCCCCGUAUACGCGAUCGAAACGGCGAGAUAAUCGCGGCACGUACUUUGCCUAUCGCGUAUGUAUAUACGAUUUUACGGAUAACACCGCUCGCGUUCUGCCGAUCGCCAGCCGAAAGAUGCCGAUGCCUAACAAAGAACUUUUCAAUAAAUUCGUGGAAAUCCACGCUAUUGAGACCAUAAAUCCACUCUUAUUCUUAUUCCUCUUUAUCGUUCCAAGGAUUCGAAAUGCGAAUAAUCUCGCUUAUCGCGUUUAAGAAAUCGCGGAACGCUUAGGCAUCGGCAAUAAUUCUCGAUCGAGGAUCAUCCACUCCAUUGACAAUGUGCCAUCAUCCCUGUGUGCGAUGUGAAAUUCGAAAUAGUCCAAUUCUAUACAUUUACAUUUUAUUAUGCCACCCUAUAUAUCCCAACAUACAGUAACAACACUUGACAAUUAUUCUAAUUUAAAAUUCCAACUAAAUUCCCACUAAACAAUUUUCCAUUUAACGGUGCACAAAUCGAAAACGGUUCGAAAGAAAGAAGAUCAGAAAAAAAAAAAAGAAAAUACGAAAAAACGAUCAUCGUUUGACCACACCACAGUCCCGCCAUGUCCCAUCGGGAAUAGCGAGCUUUAUAAUCCUUUCAACGAGCAGAAACAAAAAAGGGAAAAACAGAGAGAGAGAGAGAGAGAGAGAGAAAGAGCAUCGACCGAAAAGCUCGAAGAGCGUGUAGAUCGUGGAGCGAUAUCGUGGACGAGAACGUGCGAGCAAAUCGACCGGUCGAUUUUCGGAAUCUCUGGCCGAGAAAGAGAGAGAGAGAGAGAGAGAGAAGAGGAGGAGGAGGAAAAAGAAUUGAGCACCCGAUGUAGGACACACACCGAACGUGUCACCGCGCGAGGCCUGACACAAUGAGAAUGACGAGGAUACGGCGGACCGUACGGUGACUUUAUCUGACGCACUGACGCAUCGUGACGAGCCAUCCGCCGUGCUCGAUACCAUGAGUCACGUGGAUAGAAGGGAGAUGAACGUACCACGUGUGACGAGGAUGGGGAUCUUUAUAAGAGAGACCCGUAGAAACGGGUGGGGGAGAAUGAGUGUGUGUGAGAGAGAGCGAGGGAGGGAGGGAGGGAGGAGAGCUAGGGAGAGAUCGUUAUCGACGCUUUCCUGUGUCCUGCCACGUUCUCAGAAGAGCAUUCGAGCUGUAUGAGGAAACGCCGUCCAUGAAUUAUUCAUAGCCGUCGUCAAACGACUGCUAGCGCAUCGCUUUAUACCUGCGCGCACUCUGGCUUCUUUGCCCCGACGAGGCUGGCCCCACGCGAACUCCAGAAAAUCGUGGAUAACGACGACGAAUCGGAGGCGAGGAUCAGGGUGGCAAAUUCGUAUCGCUGGGUUCGAGAUUGGGACGAUGAACGAAGUUAACUCAUUGGACGGAUUACUCUUCAAUUGAGAGCAUCGAUUGAAAAAUAUUAAAUUCUAUCCAUGCGGUUUAACAUUCAAGCGAUAUCUCUACUGGAGAGUUAUCCUAAUCAUUCUAAAAAAGAUACACUUGCAGGGCCACGCUUUCGACCAUGUCAGAGGGCAAGUAAGAAGAAGAAGAGGAAGAGAGAAAGAGAGGGGACGUCAGUUAUCUGGCGCACGUCAAAACGGCGCAAAGUUGUGCCGGUCGGGAGAGGCAUAUCUCGGUCGCAGCAGGUUGUACGCUGAGACUUGGUGGCACAGAUACCGGCGCCUCAAUGUCAGAAAGAUAGCAGUCUGAGAGACUCCGCGAGACUCGUCACGACGUGCCACGGGAAUGACUACUGUGCGCCUGCCUCGCCUUCCACUAUGUACACGCCGCUGCACCUCCGCCUGUGUCCGUUCUCCUCGUAUGGACAUUUGUUGGGUCAUCUUGGUAACCUCGAUCCCGCCCAUCGACACCUUGGGACCUCGCUCAUUUUCUACCGUGUAGCACUCGUUUUUUAUUUUUUUUUUCUUCUAUUUUUAUCUUAUUGUAUAUGUAUAUAUAUAUCUUAGAUAUCUUAUAGAUAUCUUAUAUAAAUAAGUAUAGAAUGGAAUUCUAUAAAAAGAAAUUAUGAAUUUAUAAAUCAUAAAGCGUAAGAAAACAGAAAAUAAAAAAGGAAUAUUGAGAAAUAAAAUAAA